GUGCAGCAGUCGCGAAAACUUCACAAUGUGGGAAACCACGAUGAGGGAACUCCAAGUGCUUGCGCUUUGCGUAAGCUGUUCUUUUGUCUAAAAAACAAAGGAAGUAAGGGCCGGGUAAGACGGGUGCCAGCCGCCGCGGUAAUACCCGCGGCCCGAGUGGUGGUCAUUAUUAUUGAGCCUAAAGCGUCCGCAGCCGGUUUGGUAGAUGCCUGGGUAAAUCGAAUCGCUUAACGAUCCGAAUUCCGGGUAGACCGCCAAACUUGGGACCGGGAGAGGUUGGAGGUACUUCUGGGGUAGGGGUAAAAUCCUGUAAUCCUUGGGGGACCACCAGUGGCGAAGGCGUCCAACCGAAACGCGUCCGACGGUGAGGGACGAAAGCCAGGGGCACAAACCGGAUUAGAUACCCGCGGAGUCC
This 415-nucleotide ribosomal RNA is filed under the name uncultured archaeon. Its description in RNAcentral is "partial 16S ribosomal RNA". It matches the Rfam family "Archaeal small subunit ribosomal RNA", at positions 330 to 747 of the family's 1478-position model. The record is from RNAcentral.